GAUGAACGCUAGCUACAGGCUUAACACAUGCAAGUCGAGGGGAAACGGCAUUGUGUGCUUGCACUCUUUGGACGUCGACCGGCGCACGGGUGAGUAACGCGUAUCCAACCUUCCCAUUACUGUGGGAUAACCUGCCGAAAGGCAGACUAAUACCGCAUAGUCUUCGAUGACGGCAUCAGAUUUGAAGUAAAGAUUUAUCGGUAAUGGAUGGGGAUGCGUCUGAUUAGCUUGUUGGCGGGGUAACGGCCCACCAAGGCGACGAUCAGUAGGGGUUCUGAGAGGAAGGUCCCCCACAUUGGAACUGAGACACGGUCCAAACUCCUACGGGAGGCAGCAGUGAGGAAUAUUGGUCAAUGGACGGAAGUCUGAACCAGCCAAGUAGCGUGCAGGAUGACGGCCCUAUGGGUUGUAAACUGCUUUUGUGUGGGGAUAAAGUUAGGGACGUGUCCCUAUUUGCAGGUACCAUACGAAUAAGGACCGGCUAAUUCCGUG
This 492-nucleotide ribosomal RNA is filed under the name uncultured bacterium. Its description in RNAcentral is "partial 16S ribosomal RNA". It matches the Rfam family "Bacterial small subunit ribosomal RNA", at positions 28 to 507 of the family's 1533-position model. The record is from RNAcentral.